Coccinella septempunctata (seven-spotted ladybird) is the source of this 244-nucleotide long non-coding RNA. RefSeq lists it as uncharacterized. The record is from RefSeq and is a predicted model, not a curated record. NCBI's taxonomy places the organism in Eukaryota, Metazoa, Arthropoda, Insecta, Coleoptera, Coccinellidae. The transcript has 2 exons.
GGUUUGUCAUGCGUGGGUGCUGUUUUUGUGAUGUUGGGGUUCAGUUGACUCUCGGAUAUCUCCAUUGUGUGUUAACCGUGUUGAUUCUGUGUACAUCGAUGAUUUUGAUCCUUGUUAUACCUAAAUGCUUAUUUUAUGUUGCAGACGAUUUUCUUUAAUGAAAGAUUCAAUUUUUUGAUUUUUUCUUGUAUUCCGAUGCCUGAAGAAGGCCCAAUAAAGGUGCCGAAACGUCGCUGAAGGAAUA